AUACGGAGGAUCCAAGCGUUAUCCGGAAUCAUUGGGUUUAAAGGGUCCGUAGGCGGCUUAAUAAGUCAGCGGUGAAAGUUUUUGGCUUAACCAAAAAAUUGCCAUUGAUACUGUUAGGCUUGAAUUUUUGUGAAGUAACUAGAAUAUGUAGUGUAGCGGUGAAAUGCUUAGAUAUUACAUGGAAUACCAAUUGCGAAGGCAGGUUACUAACAAACGAUUGACGCUGAUGGACGAAAGCGUGGGUAGCGAACAGGAUUAGAUACCCUGGUAGUCCACGCCGUAAACGAUGGAUACUAGCUGUUCGGGAGCAAUUCUGAGUGGCUAAGCGAAAGUGAUAAGUAUCCCACCUGGGGAGUACGGGCGCAAGCCUGAA
This 373-nucleotide ribosomal RNA is filed under the name uncultured bacterium. Its description in RNAcentral is "bacterial SSU rRNA". It matches the Rfam family "Bacterial small subunit ribosomal RNA", at positions 523 to 898 of the family's 1533-position model. The record is from RNAcentral.